RNAcentral lists this long non-coding RNA (834 nucleotides) under Pan troglodytes (chimpanzee). RNAcentral describes it as "long non-coding RNA NONPTRT010330". Lineage: Eukaryota; Metazoa; Chordata; Mammalia; Primates; Hominidae. The record is from RNAcentral.
CGUAUGCAUUUCUCCAUUUCUGCAGUUCUGCAAAGGUUUGCAGUUUUAAAGCGUGUUCUUCUCCCUCAUUUGUCUGAAAACUCCUUGAGGGCAUGGGAUGAAUCUAUUCAUCUUUGAUCUUUUAAAUUUAGCAUAGUGUCUGGGACAUAAUCCAUGCUAAAUAUGCAAAGAUUGUGGUUAGGGUCCAGGUUAGAGCCUCAGGCGAACUGUCAUUUUCUUUUGUUUUCAACGGAUAGUGGGACAAGGACAAUAGGAGGAUGGGUCUUUCUAACCAAAAUUCAGAAGCCUGAAUUCUUCCACAAUGGUAUGUCUAUUAAGAAAAACAUAGGAGAAUGGUUUCCUUAAAAUGUUAUUUUUUCCUAUUAUGAGCAUUUGUGAUUUAAUUCAUAGUAUCUCUGAAAUGGAGUUUAAGAAAAACAUAUAUAUCGAACUAUGUGAAAAUUACUGAGUACAAUAUUUUAUUUUUAGUGGUGUUACGGUCAUCUCUUUGGCUUCUUCUUGGAAAGUUCUAUACCAUUAUUCACUUUUUCUGUAUCUACAUGGGGAUGCUCUUCCUUUCUCAGUCAGUGCUUUUCCUAAACAGGCCUGCAGUGCUGUAGUCAGCUCAUUCAUUCUUGUUUUCCAAUAAGGUGAAGCAUGCGUUAAUACUCAUGGAAGACCCAGACAUUAUGUCUCUGUAAUGUCAUAGAAAAGGCUGACCGUUCUCCUAGGGGGUUCUUUUCCACAGUAACUGUGGAGUUGAAGUGGAGGAGAAGCUUGCUGGUGUCUUCAGGUCAUCAGGUUACAGCAACACCUUCAUAAAUCAAGCAGGGCUCUUCCUUUGGUGAGCCAGUG